ACUAUGCUUUGAAGCAAACGUACUGUAAAGUCAAGUGACUUCUGUUGUUUGGAAAAAAGGUUGCCUUUGUUGUAACUAGUUUUUCGUUAAAAUAAUUAAAAUUUAAAUUUAAACAUACUGAAUCCUUAUCCUUUCUCUCGAUUCACUCACUAUUUUCCCCAAAUCUUCACUUGUCAUCUUCCCCCAUCUCGCCUGUGCACAGAAUCCCCAUCCCUCGAUCUCGCUGUGGAUAGAGGGGUUUGUGGUUGUGUCUUCGUCCUUGGCUUGAUUUAGGCACUCUUGAGAGGCUUGCUUGAUGUCAACAUCUGGGAUUUCGUUCUGUUAAAGAGGUUUAUUGAUACCAAUAACAAACAAUGAGUUGAACUAAGAAAAUUGCAUGCAGAAAUGGAUUUUGUAUUACGGUACACAAAUUAAAGCUUACAAAUUUAUGGGUUUUUGUAUUAAUUAAGAAUUAAUUUAGGUUUAAUUUAUGAUUAAUUUCUUUCAUUCAGUUACUUGUGCUUGUGCUGUUGGCAUUCUAUUUGCUGGAAUCUACAUUCUGGUUGGAUUCAUCUCAUAUUGAAGCAUACUUUUUAAUUAUUAUAACAAUGUCAAUUUACAUGUCUUGCAGGGAUUUUAUUGGAAGCAGCCACAAAAUAACUUUAUACUCCUUUUUUGUCAUUAGAUUUUCUUUACUCCUCUAAUCACUUCUGAUACUGUGUUCUGAUAACCUUUUUUGGUUUUCAUCUUUGGCUACUUAGGUUAAUUAAAAUUGGAACUGGAAAUUAAUUAAUUAAAUUAAAAACACUAGUGCAAAUCAAUUCUAUUUUCAUCAUUGCAUAUCCAUUUUCUUUGCAUCUGUUGUGAAGUAUUGUGAAAUAUUAAGGUCUCAAUUUGAGCUACUAUAUUAGUUUUUGACAUUGUGGUUAUAUUUGAAUUAUGACCUUUCCUGUUGCUCAAGUUUCAGUCCUUUCUAGCUUAUCUCAUGCAUGUUUGUAUUUUUAAUUGGAUUUGUCCUCCUUAGCUUAUUUCACAUGAAUAUUUGUAAUUUUUAGCAUCUAUUGUAGGACCAUGGUAGAACUAAAUGUUUGAAUUCUAGACCUCUUUGAACAGGUAAACUUCUCUCUGGAGUCAGCAAAAUUGGCCCAAAUACUCAGCUUAUGGAGUUUAUGAUGCUUUAGCUGGUAUUGGAGAGAUUGACCAGUAGAGUCCAGACAGAGAUUCUGAGCAGAUCUGCACUAAUGUGGGAGUCACCUCAGCAGAGUAUUUUUUGUAGGAUCCAUGUGUAUUUAGAUUUUGUAUUUUUUAUUUCUGUACAUAAGUCAAAGAUGUAAUUCAUUUUGAGACUGUAAUAUAAAUUGUAAAUUAUUGUAUAUGAAUUCUAUUAAUAAAAGUAAAUGUGUUUUACAUGAA
This is a long non-coding RNA of Hevea brasiliensis (rubber tree), 1392 nucleotides long. RefSeq lists it as uncharacterized. The record is from RefSeq and is a predicted model, not a curated record. Lineage: Eukaryota; Viridiplantae; Streptophyta; Magnoliopsida; Malpighiales; Euphorbiaceae. The transcript has 2 exons.